ACGAACGCUGGCGGCAUGCCUAACACAUGCAAGUCGAACGAGACCUUCGGGUCUAGUGGCGCCCGGGUGCGUAACGCGUGGGAACCUGCCCUUAGGUUCGGAAUAACUCCCCGAAAGGGGUGCUAAUACCGGAUAAUGUCUUCGGACCAAAGAUUUAUCGCCUUUGGAUGGGCCCGCGUUGGAUUAGCUAGUUGGUAGGGUAAAAGCCUACCAAGGCGACGAUCCAUAGCUGGUCUGAGAGGAUGAUCAGCCACACUGGGACUGAGACACGGCCCAGACUCGUACGGGAGGCAGCAGUGGGGAAUAUUGGACAAGGGGCGAAAGCCUGAUCCAGCAAUGCCGCGUGAGUGAUGAAGGCCUUAGGGUUGUAAAGCUCUUUUACCCGGGAUGAUAAUGACAGUACCGGGAGAAUAAGCUCCGGCUAACUCCGUG
Molecule: ribosomal RNA, 432 nt
Filed under: uncultured bacterium
Lineage: Bacteria
Description: partial 16S ribosomal RNA
Rfam family: Bacterial small subunit ribosomal RNA
Source: RNAcentral